GGCUUCGUAGUUGAGUGGUAAGGACACUUGCCUCUCACCCUAAAGUCCCGGGUUUGGUCCCCGUCGAGGAGCUA
Rhamnusium bicolor is the source of this 74-nucleotide non-coding RNA. Lineage: Eukaryota; Metazoa; Arthropoda; Insecta; Coleoptera; Cerambycidae. The record is from the annotation of a GenBank genome assembly.